Molecule: small nuclear RNA, 107 nt
Organism: Lynx canadensis (Canada lynx)
Lineage: Eukaryota; Metazoa; Chordata; Mammalia; Carnivora; Felidae
Source: Ensembl
GUCCCCUGCUCGCUCUGGCGGCACAUGUACUAAACUUGAUACAGAGAAGAUUAGCAUGACCCCUGCACAAGGAUGACACGGAAACUUGCGGAGUGUUCCAUAUUUAA